CCAGUCAGAUUUGAAAUAUCUGACAUGCUAAGAUGGCAGUAAUUCUCUGAUGACUGAGACUGUUGGCAGGGGAAGGGGGAAAGGUGGUGCUCAGAAGGGGACAGAGUCUUCCAGAUGGGUCUGACCAGUACUGCCAGGACAAUUCAACCUCUUCCUUCUCCUUAACACCCUCCACAAAGGCAGAUUGGCUGGGAAAUGCUCUGAAAAUCCUUCCAGCUGUGACAGCCCUUUGAAAUAUAGCGCACUCACCACGCCUCCCCCACUGCUGGCUGGUUGGAGACAUUAAAGAUUUAAAAAAGAGAGAGAGAAAGAAAGAAAGGGAGGAAAAAGGAGGAGGCUUCCUUCGCCUUCUGUGGCCCUACGGCAAUUUGUGUUUAUAUAUUAAACCCACUCAUCACCUAAUCAAACUGACUCUCCCCACGUCCCCCACCUGCCCUCAAG
Molecule: long non-coding RNA, 441 nt
Filed under: Sarcophilus harrisii (Tasmanian devil)
Lineage: Eukaryota; Metazoa; Chordata; Mammalia; Dasyuromorphia; Dasyuridae
Description: lncRNA (ENSSHAG00000024462.1)
Source: RNAcentral